UAUAGGUAUUGUAGGUGAUCCUGUAAAUGUCUGGAUAGUAGGAUCAUCUAUAGUCAAGCACGCUUUUGUGACAGCUCGUGAUCGGCCAGGUGGGGUAAACUUAGGUUUAGGUCGUUUGAAUGCCUCAUUUUGGUGGCAAGGCAAGGGUGGCAUGAUAGUGAGGCAUGUUAAAGCUCAGCUAAGAACAAUGAAAAAAUAUGAGGAUCCACCACAAUUUUUAUUAUUACAUGUAGGGGGUAAUGACUUGGGUAAUUCCAAGGUGGGCUUUUUGCGUAAUGUAAUAAAGGACAUGAUUCGAUGGAUAAUGAAGGAGUUUCCCACCUCUAAGUUGGUAUGGUCUCAAAUUUUGACCAGGUUGAAAUUGCGUUAUUCUAAUGACCACAAAGCAAUGGACUUGUGUCGCUAUAGGAUAAACAACUCUAUUGCAGCCUUUAUAGUUAGCUGUGGGGGUUACUACAUUAAACAUCCAGAUAUUCAUGCAGAUGGGAAAAAAAUCAAUCGGAUGGUGUUCACUUGUCAUCCUUAGAAAAUGAAUUGUGGUUGAACAUAUCACAAGGGGCAAUGUAAC
RNAcentral lists this long non-coding RNA (568 nucleotides) under Mytilus galloprovincialis (Mediterranean mussel). Lineage: Eukaryota; Metazoa; Mollusca; Bivalvia; Mytilida; Mytilidae. The record is from RNAcentral.